This 378-nucleotide unclassified non-coding RNA is filed under the name uncultured Pseudomonadota bacterium. RNAcentral describes it as "uncultured proteobacterium contains 16S-23S intergenic spacer region". The record is from RNAcentral. Lineage: Bacteria; Pseudomonadati; Pseudomonadota.
UCCGGCUUAUCACCGGCGGUUUCUUUAGAGUGCCCAACUAAAUGAUGGCAACUAAAGACGAGGGUUGCGCUCGUUACGGGACUUAACCCAACAUCUCACGACACGAGCUGACGACAGCCAUGCAGCACCUGUCUCUGCGCUCCCGAAGGCACCAAGGUAUCUCUACCAAGUUCGCAGGAUGUCAAGACCAGGUAAGGUUCUUCGCGUUGCGUCGAAUUAAACCACAUGCUCCACCGCUUGUGCGGGCCCCCGUCAAUUCAUUUGAGUUUUAGCCUUGCGGCCGUACUCCCCAGGCGGGGCACUUAAUGCGUUAGCUACGGCACAGAUCGCGUUGAUAACGACCCACACCUAGCGCCCACCGUUUACGGCGUGGACUAC